RNAcentral lists this long non-coding RNA (4943 nucleotides) under Cicer arietinum (chickpea). RNAcentral's name for it is "long non-coding RNA (CARI_LNC001707)". The record is from RNAcentral. Lineage: Eukaryota; Viridiplantae; Streptophyta; Magnoliopsida; Fabales; Fabaceae.
UAGGCUACGCCGCGGCUGCAGAAGCAAUAAUGGUCAUCCUCCUCACCAUCCCUGGCCUCGACGCUCUCCGUAAGGGUCUAAUUGCCGUUACCAAGAACCUUCUCAAACCGUUUCUCUCGGUUGUUCCGUUUUGCCUCUUCCUUCUCAUGGACAUUUAUUGGAAAUACGAAACCAGGCCUAGUUGCGAAGGAGAUUCCUGCACUCCCACGGAACACCUUCGUCACCAGAAAUCGAUUAUGAAGAGUCAGCGUAACGCGCUUCUCAUCGCCGCCGCGCUUCUUUUCUACUGGCUUCUUUACUCCGUCACCAAUCUCGUUGUUAAGAUCGAUCACCUUAACCAGCGUCUCGAACGUCUCAAGAGGACCGAGUGAAUUCAAUUUCUCAGAUAAGUCUAUCGGAUUUGUGUUCCCUGCAGUUUUUUUUUGUUAUUAUGUUAGUAUAUGCAACAAUUUCGUUUCGUUUUUCUUUUGUUUAGAUCUAUGUUUGAAUGAUUAUAAGACGAUUAUUGAUUAAUCGUAGUUAUAUAUGUAAUUUCUGUGCUGUUUUGAAUUUUGGCGACUUACUUUGAUUGAGAGUUAGGGUUCAUUUUAGGGAUUUUCUCAUUGUUGCGAUAUUUGUGGUUUGGGAUCGAACCUUUAUUAGGUUUGAAUGAAUACACACACACCAUUGUUCGAUGUUAAUUGAAAUGGUUGCUUAACUUGUGAAUAAUUGUUACAAACGACACAGAUAAUGAUUUGAAAAGAUGGAAAUAGUUGAAUGUAACGAUGCGAUUGAGCCACCCCUUCAAUCUGAAUCUGAAUCUGAAUCUGAAUUGUUAGCAUUACAUUGAAUGCCCUGUCACUGUAUGGUUACCUAGUUAUAUGCCUGCCUUUUUUCUUUAUGUAGCAACUUAUCUUACACAUAUUCAAUGCGUGAGGGGUGAGGCAACUUGAAGAAUCUUGUUUUGUGCUGCUCGCGUCCUUUCUCCUUUGAAUAUCUUGCUAUUGCUUUUUCUUAAUUUAUCGUCAUUCUUUCAUGGAUAUGCAUAGUUUGUGAAUGUAAAUCAAACGAUAAAUCCCAAAAUAGCACACUCAUUUCACUAUUUCACCAUAUUAGCUGGGGCUACAUUCCUAUAUAUUGAUUUAAAUUGCUAAGGAAAAAAAAACUAUAGCGAAGGUAAUCUAACUUCGGUCUUCGUAUAAACUUAAAAUCAAAUUUAUUCGAUUAAGAUAGUUUGCAUUACAAAGGCCUAUGCAUGUUUUACAAUUUUAAUACAUUUUUCUACGAAGUGAAUAUCUCGCAGUAGUUAAAUACUCAAACUAAUGGAAGACAUAGAAAGCAAAUAUAAGUACUCCUUUUCGGUAGCAACAAAUUCGUAUUAUUUUAGUGUUUAAUACAACUAAGAACUCCUUUUCGAUCCGAAACAAAUCAAUCAAUCAUUGGCCACUCGGUCAAUUUAAACCUAAUGUUCUGAUCUUAUCUUCAGAAAUAGAUCUAAAAUUUGUCAAAAACCUUGCAUCUCCGUCGCAACAACUUAAGAACACAUUUUUAUUCCAUUGAUAAAACAGUAUGUAGUGGAGACAAUGUUGGUGGUUUUAGUCUCCUUUGGCAGGUAGUCAGAAUCACACGUGAAACUUCUCCAGAAUUAGCUAUUCUGCUCAUUUUUCAGAUUAUCAAUGUUGUCUGCACUUGAAUCAUUCAGUUUGCUUAGAAUCCAAUGCACACACGUUAAGGUUAUUAAAAAGAGGGAAUGAAAUUCCACCACAAAAGCAUUGAUUACUAAAAACCUGCAUCACAAGGGAGGAAUUACAGAUUCACAUUCCAAUCAAAGAGAGUUCCAACUUUUACGGAAAUCAAAUUCAAUACUCAUCAUGGCUGCUGUAAGCUCAACAAAAACUGAGGAGUAUAUACCAAUUCAAUCUCUAAAUAUGUCACCACAUUCCACAAGAAUAUUAACUUUCAUUCAGACACAAGGGGGAAUGCAUGCAAAUCAACUUGAGUAAUUAUGGAUAUGAUUCACAAAAGCUCCCUUAUUGUCUCAAGAGUAAGAUAUUAAUUGCACUUUUUUUUUUGCAUAACAGACUUAUCAAUUAAUUAAAAAAUUUAGAUUGAUUUCGACAGUACCAAAUGCACCAAGUAGCAUGAAUGGUGCCAGAUAUAAUGAUAUUUGUAACUUGCCACUCCAAUUCUUCUUCGGAGUAUUUAAUCAGGCAUCAAAUGAAGAAUGUAAUGUGCGUAGAUACUAAAUUUUGAGCUUUUUUUUUAAUCUAAUCGUUGAUAUUGCAGGUGAUUCUUAAUUUUACUUUGAAUUUUUGUUGAAAAUUUUGGAUUUAAAAUGAAAUGUUGGAAGAUGAAUGGGAGAAGACAAAGAUGUUAAGUUCUUCAAGAAAUUUAUUUAAUAAAAAAUUGAUUUAAAAGUAUUAUUAUUAUUUUUCUUCAUAAGAGACUAUUUAAAUUUACCAUGUUACAGGUAUCCAAUAGACAUACAUGGAUUCAAUUGGCACAUUUGUUAAGAAAAUUUAUUGAACCAACCGGAGUUAGGGCUAGCGAAAGAUGUUAGAUUUCUACAACUUAGUUAAUCGAAUUUUUUCUGUUAAAAUAGGUACCUACAUUCAAGGACAGUUUUAAAUUACUAAUUUAUAUUAUUUGUAAGUUCAAUUAUUAUGUUACAUGAUUGGUCGGCAAUUUUAAGACUUAUAUUAUUCUUUUUAUAUAUUUGAUAAAAAGAUGUUGAAUAAUUAAAUAUUUUUUAAAUGAGUAUUAUGAAGAAUUAGAUGUGAAAUUGUAUGAGAUGUAAGUGUUUAAAUAAUUCUUUAGGUACUUAUAUAUAGAUAUUUUUAUUGACUUUGAAAAUAAAAAAUCAUUCAAUUCAAUGAUUCAAAAUAUGAAAAUACAAACAAAAAAAAAAAACUCUUAGGAUGAUAUAUAGUUAUGGUUUAAAAAAUUACGCACAUUUUAUCUUUGGUAGAGAGAAUCUAUGGAGAAAAAAUCAUUGAAAAGUUAAAAUAUACAUGUAUUAUAACUUCAAAUAUUUAAAUAUUUAAGUACUUCAAAAAUACUUAGGUUCGUUUGAUGUACACAAUAUAAUAUGAUAUAAAGUUAGAUAAAGAUAAUAGGAUAAUGAUAAAAUAAACAUUAUCAUAUUUUGUAUUUGAUAUACACAUGAUAAUAAUAUUUUUUUUUUUGUCGUAUAUAUGAUGUACAUACCUCCUCAUGACAUAAUAUGAUAUAAUAUAUAUUAUAUUUAAAUAAUAAAAUUAUCAAUGUAAUUAAUUAUAUAUUAGUUUUUUUUAAAAUUUACUUGUAAUAUUUUAAAUAUUACAAAUUAACAAAAAAAAUUGUAAAAAAUUAAAUAAGUAAUGAAGUAACUUUAUAUUUAAAAUUAUGCGUUGACAUUACUAAAUAAACAAUUUAAAUUUUUUAAAAAAAUCAUAAGCAACCAAAUAAUUAUAUUUUAUUUGUUAGAAUGUAAAUAAUGAUAUAACAUAUAUUAUAUAUAUUAUAUGUAAAUAGCAAAAAUAUCCUUGUAAAUAAAUUAUAUUUAUUUUAAAAUUUUAAUUAAUUUUCAUAUUUUAUAAUUUUAAAUACUAGUUUAUUAAAUUAUAUAUAAAAAAACUAUCUUUAUAAUAAAAUCAUAAAUGUUUAUUAAAUUAAUUAUUAAUAUUUAAUUUUUAAAUUUAGUAUCAAAUUUUAUUAAUAAUUUUAUAUUUAUAUUUGAUUAUGUUUACAUUUUUAUAUUUUAUUAAUUAUUUAUAUUUUAUAUUUAUAUUUUAUUAUUUUUCAAUUUUAUAUUUACAAGAUAAUUAAAUAAAUUAUUAUUUUUUAUCUAUGUUAUAUUCAUAAUAUAAAUUUAAACUAAUGACAACGUCAUAUUGAUCCAUUAAAUAUUGAAUUUAGAGACAUAAUUUACUUCUAUUUUAUCCAUCAAAUAAGUCCUAUCGAUACUAUGGUAAAACUUAGAAGGAAUACAAAUGUAAAAAUACCGUAAUAUUUUUAGUCCAAUAUGUUUUACAAACAUUCUAAAGUAUUUUUUUAAGAAAAACUUUUGUAGCCGCAGUCUUACAAUUUGAGAUGUUUGAUAACGUGGCACAAGCUUAUUGGAGUUGCACACGUUUUCCUCAAAAACAUAAAGCUGAAUGAAUUUUAUGAAGUCAAGUCAACACCCUCCAAAUCCAAUUCAUAGCAUAGCAUAGCAUAGUUUCUUCCUCCCUUCCUCUAUUUCGUGUUUCUUUUUCCCCUUUCCUUACAACAAUCCCAGAUUUGUAAUUAUCAUCUUCUUUCAAUCCAACCCUUAUUCAUCAAUCAAUUUCUUCAACAACCCCCUUAUCAAAUCAUUUCAUUUAUCAAUCCUUCAAUUAGCAUUUCAGAUCUAUACUUCUUCAUAUAAUUAGGGUUUUUAGCUUGUAGAAGAAGCAAAUGGACGACGUGAAAGACAAGGUUAAAGGUUUAAUGAAAAAAGUCAACAACCCUUUCUCUUCCUCAACAUCUGGAAAAUUCAAGGGCCAAGGUAGAGUCUUGGGAUCAUCAUCAUCUUCUUCUUCUUCUUAUACACCUUCUAAUUCCAAUCCUACCCCUCGCCCUAAUCCAUCUCCCUCUCAGAACCCUAACCCUAAUUCCAAACCCAAACCUAAACCCACUUCACCGGUCGCUUCAGAUAAUAGCAGAAUCGACAAAGCUCGUAAACCUGGAGAUGGGUUUGACCCUUUUGAUUCUCUAGUCACUUCAUCGCAGAGAUCUCAAAAUGGGUAUUCACUUAAUGUAUAUGAAUGUCCAAUUUGUAAAAAACCCUUUAGAUCAGAAGAUGAGGUUUCUGAACACGUGGAUAAUUGUUUGAGUAACCCAACUGAGUCUAUUGAUGGUGAUGAAAAUUGUGUAUCAGAAUUGCAAGAGAGUGAAGUUGAGUCUAAUACUGAAUUGGAGAUUUUUAUUGGCACUUAUGUUUCAGGGAAACCAUCUGAAGGAUC